Molecule: ribosomal RNA, 468 nt
Filed under: uncultured bacterium
Lineage: Bacteria
Description: partial 16S ribosomal RNA
Rfam family: Bacterial small subunit ribosomal RNA
Source: RNAcentral
GACGAACGCUGGCGGCGUGCUUAACACAUGCAAGUCGAACGGAAAGGCCCUGCUUUUGUGGGGUACUCGAGUGGCGAACGGGUGAGUAACACGUGAGUAACCUGCCCUUGACUUUGGGAUAACUUCAGGAAACUGGGGCUAAUACCGGAUAGGAGCUCCUGCUGCAUGGUGGGGGUUGGAAAGUUUCGGCGGUUGGGGAUGGACUCGCGGCUUAUCAGCUUGUUGGUGGGGUAGUGGCUUACCAAGGCUUUGACGGGUAGCCGGUCUGAGAGGGUGACCGGCCACAGUGGGACUGAGAUACGGCCCAGACUCCUACGGGAGGCAGCAGUGGGGAAUAUUGCACAAUGGGCGGAAGCCUGAUGCAGCAACGCCGCGUGCGGGAUGACGGCCUUCGGGUUGUAAACCGCUUUCGCCUGUGACGAAGCGUGAGUGACGGUAAUGGGUAAAGAAGCACCGGCUAACUACGUG